This 429-nucleotide ribosomal RNA is filed under the name bacterium. RNAcentral describes it as "partial 16S ribosomal RNA". It matches the Rfam family "Bacterial small subunit ribosomal RNA", at positions 355 to 776 of the family's 1533-position model. The record is from RNAcentral.
UGGGGAAUCUUCCGCAAUGGACGAAAGUCUGACGGAGCAACGCCGCGUGAGUGAUGACGGCCUUCGGGUUGUAAAGCUCUGUUAAUCGGGACGAAUGGUUCUUGUGCAAAUAGUGCGAGGAUUUGACGGUACCGGAAUAGAAAGCCACGGCUAACUACGUGCCAGCAGCCGCGGUAAUACGUAGGUGGCAAGCGUUUUCCGGAAUUAUUGGGCGUAAAGCGCGCGCAGGCGGAUUGGUCAGUCUGUCUUAAAAGUUCGGGGCUUAACCCCGUGAUGGGAUGGAAACUGCCAAUCUAGAGUAUCGGAGAGGAAAGUGGAAUUCCUAGUGUAGCGGUGAAAUGCGUAGAUAUUAGGAAGAACACCAGUGGCGAAGGCGACUUUCUGGACGAAAACUGACGCUGAGGCGCGAAAGCCAGGGGAGCGAACGGG